CAGAACAAGGGAAGGUUACAGUUUCAGGAAAUGUGGACCCAAACAUUCUCAUCAAGAAGCUUGCAAAAUCAGGGAAACACGCAGAGCUAUGGAGUGUACCUAAACCAAACAACAAUAAUCAGAAUAAUAAUAACAACAACAACCUUGUUAAUCAGCUGAAGAACAUGCAAAUUGAGAAACCAAAAGGUGGUGGUGGAGGUGGAGGAGGAGGAGGAGGAAACAACAACAAAGGACAGAAUCAAAAUCAGCAGAACCAGAAGGGUGGUGGUGGUGGAAACAAUAACCAACCCAAAGGUGGUGUUCCACAAGGACUAAACCCACAGCAGCAACAGCAACUCCAACUUCAGCAACAGCUACAACAACUUCAACAGAUGAAAGGGUUUCAAGAUCUACCUCAAUUUAAGGGAAUGAAGAUGCCACCUAAUCAGAACCCAAACCAGCAAAUGCCUAAAGCUGUUAAAUUUGAUGUGCCUGAAGAUGAUGACGAUGAUUUUACUGACGAUGAAUUAGAUGAUGAUUAUGACGAAGAUGAUGAAGAUUUCGAUGACGAUGAUGAGUUUGAUGAUGAAAUGGCUGAUUUACCACCUAAUAAGAUGAAACCCUCUAUGCCUAUGGGAAAUGGUGCUCACAUGAUGUUGAAUGGGAAUCAUCCACAGUUUAUGAAUGCCAUGAAGGGUGCCAAUUUUAAUGGCGGUGGUGGUGGUGGUGGAAACGGGAAGAAACCUGGUGGUGGUGGUGGUGGACCUGUGCCGGUUCAAAUUCAGGGUAUGGUUGGUGGUAAUGGAAAUGGAGGAAAGAAAGAAGGCGGCGGCGGUGGAGGUAACAAAAAUAAUGGUGGUAUNNNNNNNNNNNNNNNNNNNNNNNNNNNNNNNNNNNNNNNNNNNNNNNNNNNNNNNNNNNNNNNNNNNNNNNNNNNNNNNNNNNNNNNNNNNNNNNNNNNNNNNNNNNNNNNNNNNNNNNNNNNNNNNNNNNNNNNNNNNNGCUUACCGGCAGGAGGCGGUGGAUACUUUCAAGGUGGUGGUGGUGGUGGUAUGGGUCCAGAAAUGAUGCCAGGAAAUCCUUACCAACAACAACAACAGCAACAUCAGCAGCAGCAACAACAACAGUUAAUGGCUGCUGCAAUGAACCAACAACGGGCUGCGAUGGCGGGAGGAAAUGAUCAGAGAUUUCAGCAACCAAUGAUGUAUGCAAGGCCACCUCCAGCAGUGAAUUACAUGUAUCCUCCUCCUUACGCUUAUCCUCCUCCUCCAGAUCCUUACACACACUAUUUCAGUGAUGAAAAUACUUCCAGCUGCAAUAUCAUGUGAUGAUCUAAUUCAUCUCAACCAAGUGAAGGUUCAAACUAUAGUAUUUACCCUACUCUAAUUUUAUUAUGCAAUCAAUACCAAUGGAACAUGAGUUUUUUAUUUUCAUUUUUCUUUGCUUUGAUCCCCUUUUCAACUUAGGGGUUUCUAAUUACCUGUAGUUUAUAGAUAUCUUAUAAUAAUAUUACUAUUAUUAUUAUGUUCUUUGAGAGUAAGUAGUAAGUACUUCCUAUUUUAUUUUUUUUAUAUAUUAUAUGUGUUUAUAUUUUGGAAAUAGUAAUAAAAAUAUUUCAGAAAAAAAGUUAGCAAUAUUCUUGUUAUUGAGAAUGGAAUGAACAAAAUUCCCAAUUCUGUUUGCUCAUUUGAUAAACUCAUCCAAUUGUCUAUUUACUAAACAAUCAAUCACAUUGUUUGUGUUUGGGUGUCUAGUAUUAAAUUAUUGGCUUAUCUUAUUGUGUUAUGGCAUCUUACUAUAUCUUAUCUGUAUACAUUAUUUUGUGUCUCCCUUUGUUAUUUUGGGUUUGGACCCACCCAGUUGGAAUCUCUCUAUUUCUCAUAACAAAUGAAGUUGAUUUUAAUUUGGAUCUACUAUCCCAAAUCCAACCCAAACAGUGGUUUUCAAUCACAAUCUAGUAUUAAUCAGUGGUAUUUAUAUGUCGUUUUCUAAUUUUAAGGUUAUUAUGGCAUAUGCAUCUUCAUAACUAUCCUAUAAUUGUGUGGUUGACAUUGUAAUUGAUCAUAAUGUGUAGAAUUGAUGUUUCAUCCGAAGAAUUAUUGAUGUACAGUUAAUAUAUAUAGCAAUAUGUGUGUAGAAUAGAAUUGAAUUGUUGAUGAUAAUGGUGCGGAUAUGAUAUUAGCUGCAUAGUAACAGUUCACUCACUGUUGAACCAGCUGAGGCUCAACUAAAUGUAAUACUUACGUAACUGAACCAAAUCUUUAGCUGUACACCCAAAUCACCUGGGUUGGUUCUUUUUUUUUUUCUUAAAUGUUUUCAAGCUUUUUAGUGUAGUAUAUUUAGUUAUUGGGUCAUAAGUCUUCUAAAGUCAAAGGAGUUGUUUCUAUAAUUUGGUGUAUUAGUCCAACAAUCAAUAAAAAUAAGCCACAUACACCAAACUUUUAUUUAACAUGCAAUAUUUUUUGGCAGAUGCGUCAUGCCCCUAAAUUAUCGAGGGAUAAAUUAAAAAAAAAAACAAAGAGAAAAUAUUGAGCAUAAAUACAGAAGAUGAUCUAAUUUAAUUUUUUUUAUUCCACAAAAAUUUAGGUAUAGAUCUCAAAUAAUGUUGAUAAUGAGAUACUUUUUUUAUCAUCCACAACAGUGGUUUCAUGUUUUUGUGAGAGUUGAACUCAUAUGAAAUACAGUGUAUGAUCUAUUCUUUCCUAUAUAUUCAUUACAUAAUUAAUAUAUUUUUGUCUAUCAUAUAAUCAAAUACAUUAACUAUACAAUAAAUUAAAAAAAAAAUUACUUAGGGAAUGAGUAUUUCUUAGUACCUAUGGCUAUGCUAUUUUUUUUUUCAAUAUUAGUAAUUUUAUUAUUAAGUGAUUUCAACUCUCUUUUGAUCGCAAUUGCUGGUGAUCGAACUGUAAUACUUCUUACCUAUUUUAGCGUCAAUUAACACUAAACCAACGAUAUAACUAUGCUAUUUUUGUUUAUGAUUUGUUGAGGCACGCAAAGUAAUGUGGUAGUAAUUAAUUAAAGAAGGAAAAUGUUAAACAGAGCCCCCGGGACACUAGUUAAAUAUACAAAUAUAGAAGUUUUAUCUCGUAAAUUGUGCAUUCAAUGUUUUAAUUAUGUAAAAAGUUAUUCUCUCUCAUCAUUAACUUUAUUAUUUAUUUCAUUUUUUAGUAUGCUUAACUAGUUCCCCAGACGCACUAUUUAGCAUGACCCAUUAAAAGAAUGGUAUGCAUAAGUUUUGGAUUUUUAUAAUUAAAUAAUUGUACUAGUCUUUGUUUCAAUUUGAGGAAAUCAUGGAUGUGUGCGUGGUGGGGUGCACACCGAUGAAGUUGCGCAUGGACCCCAGCUAUAUAUAUCAAUCGGCCUAAUUAAUUAAUAUGCUCUUGUGACUAGUGGGGUUUAAUGGUGGGUCAUAUACAUCAUCACCGUCACUACAAUUGUGAUAAACACCAAAUUCUUCUGUCAGGAGUGAAUUUAUUUUACACAGUACUAGUACUAGUACUAAUCUUACAUCUUAUUUAAUAAUUAUGGUUACUGUUCCCACUAAGUAACUUAACUUUACAUCUAAAUUUCAACCUCUUGAAUAAAUCAUAGUACAAAUUGGAUAUAGUAGUUAGGUGGUGUAGUGUAGAAUAUUUAGGAUAUUCACAUGGGUUGACUGUUGAAUCUGAUAUGAUAUCAUCAUUCCUUGAGUGAGUACAUCAUAAUUCUUCACUAUGAUUCUUAUAUAAAGCUUUUAUUUAGAUAUUAUAUCUUUUUUGUCAUAUGAAUUAUAAGUUUAAAAUUCGAUCUUACCGAACAGAUUCAUGAUAUAAAUUAGUAUUUACUAUAAAUUUAUCUGCUAUAAAUUAAAUUAUCAAUUAUCCAUCAUUUUUUACCAAAUAGGCAUAUAUACAUGAAAUCUAAAUCUAUUAAGUAAGAAUAUACUUGGAUGAUCUAUGAUAUAAAUUUUCAAUAUAACAGUGAAUUCGGUAUUCGUUAUAAGUGGUGCAUCGUGGUGCACCGUGCACACCACUUGAUCAGCUCUUUCAUGUUAGCCUUCACCUAUGUUUUGUGUAUAUAUAUGGUUCGUAGGAAGAGGGGACGACCUGUCGAAUUCACAUCAGAAAUUGCCAGAACACAAAUGAAAUCUUGAAUUGCAUAUAGAAACAAAACGAACCAUUUAUGUCUCGGAGCUGAGGUAUAUGAAGAAUGGCUUUUUGGUCUCUUUCGUCCAAUGGUUAGGACAUCAAGUCUAUGGUCAAAUAUUUCAUCAAGUUUUCUACGCUACAUAAGUCACGAAUAUUAUUAUAACGAAUACGAAUUUUAUAAAAUUCAUCGUCGAAUUAAAACUUAAUAUCAUAUAGACCAUUCAUAAUUUUUCUUUUAAAAAAAUCAAAAAUCAUUUGAUAUGUUAUUGAGAUUUAUCAAAAUUAACGGUUGAUGAAUUUUUAUUGAAUACCGUUAAUCUGAAUCGUCCAAUCUAUCAAUACUUUCGAGAACUAAUUUGACAACGCGUCAUACUUAAUAAUUUUGAUAUUUUUAAGAGUUUAAUUGAUAUGCACUCACAGUGUAAAAUAGUUUUACACAAUCGUCCAAUAAAUCAUCAUUAUUUUAUCAUAUCGUAUCAAGAAAGUGAGGUAAAGUAGGGUAAUGUGGCGGAAACAUGAUUGAUAUUGGUUGACGGUGUAAACAAUUAAAUCCUAUUUUUAAAGCUGAGUUAAGAUCUGUGAAUGUGUGUGUGAAUAAUUGCAAAAUCCAGUACUUCAAUAAAUAAUUGCACCAAAACAAAGAUGAACUCUUGGAACACCGUUACUUUGCUUACCCCCAUUUUUCUCAACAAUGACUACUACAGUACUACUCAUCAUUCUCUCUGAACCUUUCUAGUUUUGUUUCAUGUCUCUGCUUUGAGACUUUAGAACCAUUUCUUCUACUUGUAAUUUCAUUCUAAAAAAGUAAAAAAUAAAAAAAGUCUACCAAACAAGAAACUACAUUUUUUUCCCCCUCAUUUCUUCUCUGUUUUCUCAGAUCUAAAAUCUCAGUUGCCCAGAUCUUUGUUUAUCACAAGUUACAUACUUUCCUUGUGUUAGUUGGUGGUUGUGUAUAAAAAAUGAGUAAAGAAGAAUUUUUGAAGAUACAGGUACUCCCAUCACAUUCUCAAUGUCUGUUUACUUUUGUGUUUUAUUUUGUUUUGUUUUGUUUUGUUUUAUCUCAUUUGAUUUUUAUUUUGCUUUUGUAUUCAGAAAUCUGUUCUUAAAGUAAACAUACACUGUGAUGGAUGCAAACAAAAAGUAAAGAAAAUCUUGCAGAAAAUUGAUGGUAUGCAAUGCAGCACUAUUAUGAUUUAUUUAUUUUUAUAUAGUUUCAAUUAUUAUUAUCCUAAGUAAAACAAAACAAAACCUUAAUUUUACCGACCUAGAAUUGAAUAUGUUGUUUUUGUUGAUUAAUGAAUGGCAGGGGUGUUUACAAUUGAGAUAGAUGCAGAACAAGGGAAGGUUACAGUUUCAGGAAAUGUGGACCCAAACAUUCUCAUCAAGAAGCUUGCAAAAUCAGGGAAACAUGCUGAGUUAUGGACUGUACCUAAACCAAACAACAACAACAAUAAUAAUAAUAAUAAUAAUAAUAAUAAUAAUAAUAAUAAUAAUAAUAAUAACAAUCAGAACAACCUUGUUAACCAGUUGAAGAACAUGCAGCAAAUUGACAAGGGAAAAACUAGUGGAGGAAACAACAACAACAAAGGACAGAAUCAAAAUCAGCAGAACCAGAAGGGUGGUGGUGGUGGUGGUGGAAACAAUAACCAACCCAAAGGUGGUGUUCCACAAGGACUAAAUCCACAGCAGCAACAGCAACUCCAACUUCAGCAACAGCUACAACAACUCCAACAGAUGAAAGGGUUUCAAGAUCUACCUCAAUUCAAGGGAAUGAAGAUGCCACCUAAUCAGAACCCAAACCAGCAAAUGCCUAAAGCUGUUAAAUUUGAUGUGCCUGAAGAUGACGAGGGUGAGUUUAGUGACGAUGAAUUAGAUGAUUAUGACGACGAAGAUGAUGAUGAAGAUUUUGAUGAUGAGUUUGAUGAUGAAAUGGUUGGUUUACCACCUAAUAAGAUGAAACCGUCUAUGCCUAUGGGGAAUGGUGCUCACAUGAUGUUGAAUGGGAAUCAUCAACAGCUUAUGAAUGCCAUGAAGGGUGCCAAU
Molecule: long non-coding RNA, 6149 nt
Filed under: Trifolium pratense (red clover)
Lineage: Eukaryota; Viridiplantae; Streptophyta; Magnoliopsida; Fabales; Fabaceae
Description: long non-coding RNA (TPRA_LNC001841)
Source: RNAcentral